AACUUAGCAAACUGAAACAUCUGAAUAGCUAAAGGAAGGAAAAUCAACCGAGACCCCGUUAGUAGCGGCGAGCGAGAGCGGG
Molecule: non-coding RNA, 82 nt
Filed under: Triticum aestivum (bread wheat)
Lineage: Eukaryota; Viridiplantae; Streptophyta; Magnoliopsida; Poales; Poaceae
Description: Archaeal large subunit ribosomal RNA
Rfam family: Bacterial large subunit ribosomal RNA
Source: Rfam by way of RNAcentral